AUGGUAAUAAAUUGUUGCUUAUAUUUGACUCGAAUCUAUUUAACAAAAAUUUUAUUCACUGAGUUCAGUGCUUUUAUUUAUAUAACAUAGAACUGGUUUUAUUCACAAACGUUUACGAUAUGGAUGUCUUGAAAUUUGACAAGGCUCCUGCUUACACGCUAGGCAUGCGGUUGAACCCAAAACAGACGUCGCUGCGAAUUCCAGGUCCCAAGUACGAUUUGAGCAACAUCACCAGGCGCGGACCGGUGAAAGUCAUAGGAGCUUCGCUGGCGUCAAAGUUGAAAGAACAAACGAUGCGGACUCCCGGACCGGCCGCGUACAACACCGUGCCCUGCAUGUCAGCCACUUUGCCCACGAUUCCGCAGUGUUCCAUAGGGAUGAGACGGGACUGCAUGCGGAAGUCGACGCGCACGCCGGCUGCAAAUGCGUACGCAUUGUCAACGACCAUCGGAAACCAAGCGCCCGACAUGCCGUCGGCGCCCAUGUACACGAUUUUGGGACGGUACCCAGGACGACGGUGGUUCUCUUCGCCGGGACCGGCGCGCUACUCGGCCGUGGCGCUUGAAAGGUUCAAGACACAGACGCCCAGACCGGUGAUGCUGGGCGCCGUCGAUCAGCAGACCCGAAGCAAACGCACCCCCGCUCCAAAUGCCUACUUUCCAGCCCCGGGCCCGGCGUCCCGUUACGCCAACGCGCCUCAAUUCUCGCUCGGCGGCCGUGUGCCGGCUCGCUCCAAACCUUUCUUGACGGCUGCCGACAAAGUGCCGGACUGGGAAUGACGACUGCUGCAGGCCGCCAUUACAGAAGUUCGACAGUAGGUGUAAAAUGAGAGUUCUAGAUCUCCUCCCCCUUAAAUUUUACAUGUAAAAGGAUAGGUAUGGCCUGUAUAGGCAACAACUACACAGCUCCUCCCAAACUUGUAUUAAUUACUCAAUAUAGGCAACCCGCAACACGCAUAAACCCAACACCAUCACCAGAUCCUACACGUAACCGGUAUAUAUUUUAUACCUUCUCCUUCAAACCCCCUACCUUUUGAAGAAAAAUAAUGUAUAUAAUAUUCUGAUUUUGACUAAAUAUGACACCUGACCAUCAAAUAUUUUUCCCCUUCCCAAUCAAUUAUAUUUCUUCCCCUUUUAUUUACACACACACACACACACACACACACAUAACAUAUUUACCAUCACAUACAUACUAAACGCAGUACACACACAUAUUACAUAAGUAAUCUUAUAUCACACAUACACAACAAUCAAACAUAUUAUAUAUAGUUAACAUAUCGAUACCUAUUUUAUUCAUUUACGAAUAAGUAGGUACCUAGCUAAAUCAUACGUAGAAAUAUAAUUGAUUGGAAAGGGGAAAAAUAUUUGAUGGUCAGGUGUCAUAUUUAGUCAAAAUCAGAAUAUUAUAUACAUUAUUUUUCUUCAAAAGGUAGGGGGUUUGAAGGAGAAGGUAUAAAAUAUAUACCGGUUACGUGUAGGAUCUGGUGAUGGUGUUGGGUUUAUGCGUGUUGCGGGUUGCCUAUAUUGAGUAAUUAAUACAAGUUUGGGAGGAGCUGUGUAGUUGUUGCCUAUACAGGCCAUACCUAUCCUUUUACAUGUAAAAUUUAAGGGGGAGGAGAUCUAGAACUCUCAUUUUACACCUACUUUCGACUAUUGUAGGAAAGGUUUUGUUGAAACUUGGAGAUAUUAUAGCAAGACAAUAACAAUUAAUGGAGAUGUGUACAAAAUUUAAGAGGGGUAAUUGCUUUUGAUGGAUCGGCAAGAGAAUUAAGACAAUCAUAUGGGGCCAUUACAUAUAGCAUAUGGUUUGAGAUCAAAUGAUCAAUGGCAAUGCUAUGACGAUUUAAAGGAUCAAGUAUCAACAAAAUCAAAAAGUUUUAAAGUUAAUGCUGAAAUUCUAUUUUAUACAAAAUUAUACCAAUGUUGUUAAUUUUACAUAUUUUUCAUUUGAAAUAAAACAAAGUACCUAACGUAA
Molecule: RNA transcript, 1974 nt
Organism: Aphis gossypii (cotton aphid)
Lineage: Eukaryota; Metazoa; Arthropoda; Insecta; Hemiptera; Aphididae
Gene name: outer dense fiber protein 3-like protein 2
Exons: 4
Source: RefSeq, a predicted model, not a curated record